AGAGUUUGAUCCUGGCUCAGGAUGAACGCUAGCGGCAGGCUUAACACAUGCAAGUCGAGGGGCAGCGGGGAGGAAGCUUGCUUUCUCCGCCGGCGACCGGCGCACGGGUGAGUAACACGUAUGCAACCUGCCCCUGUCAGGGGGACAACCCGCCGAAAGGCGGGCUAAACCCGCGUACAUGCCACCGGGGCAUCCCGGAGGCAGGAAAGGCUUCGGCCGGACAGGGAUGGGCAUGCGGCGCAUUAGGCAGUAGGCGGGGUAACGGCCCACCUAACCGACGAUGCGUAGGGGUUCUGAGAGGAAGGUCCCCCACACUGGUACUGAGACACGGACCAGACUCCUACGGGAGGCAGCAGUGAGGAAUAUUGGUCAAUGGUCGGGAGACUGAACCAGCCAAGCCGCGUGAGGGAGGAAGGUACAGAGUAUCGUAAACCUCUUUUGUCAGGGAACAAAGGCGGGGACGUGUCCCCGGAUGAGUGUACCUGAAGAAAAAGCAUCGGCUAACUCCGUGCCAGCAGCCGCGGUAAUACGGAGGAUGCGAGCGUUAUCCGGAUUUAUUGGGUUUAAAGGGUGCGCAGGCGGUCUGUUAAGUCAGCGGUCAAAGCCCGGGGCUCAACCCCGGCCCGCCGUUGAAACUGGCAGUCUCGAGUUGGAGAGAAGUAUGCGGAAUGCGCGGUGUAGCGGUGAAAUGCAUAGAUAUCGCGCAGAACUCCGAUUGCGAAGGCAGCAUGCCGGCUCCACACUGACGCUGAGGCACGAAAGCGUGGGUAUCGAACAGGAUUAGAUACCCUGGUAGUCCACGCAGUAAACGAUGAAUGCUGGCUGUCCGGGGGGAUUGACCCCUGGGUGGCGAAGCGAAAGCGAUAAGCAUUCCACCUGGGGAGUACGCCGGCAACGGUGAAACUCAAAGGAAUUGACGGGGGCCCGCACAAGCGGAGGAACAUGUGGUUUAAUUCGAUGAUACGCGAGGAACCUUACCCGGGCUCAAACGGGGAGUGACUCAGGCAGAGACGCCUGUUUCCCACGGGACACUCCCCGAGGUGCUGCAUGGUUGUCGUCAGCUCGUGCCGUGAGGUGUCGGCUUAAGUGCCAUAACGAGCGCAACCCCCGCGUGCAGUUGCUAACAGAUAACGCUGAGGACUCUGCACGGACUGCCGGCGCAAGCCGCGAGGAAGGCGGGGAUGACGUCAAAUCAGCACGGCCCUUACGUCCGGGGCGACACACGUGUUACAAUGGGUGGUACAGCGGGAAGCCAGGCGGCGACGCCGAGCGGAACCCGAAAUCCACUCUCAGUUCGGAUCGGAGUCUGCAACCCGACUCCGUGAAGCUGGAUUCGCUAGUAAUCGCGCAUCAGCCAUGCCGCGGUGAAUACGUUCCCGGGUCUUGCACUCACCGCCCGUCA
RNAcentral lists this ribosomal RNA (1402 nucleotides) under uncultured bacterium. RNAcentral's name for it is "16S ribosomal RNA". It matches the Rfam family "Bacterial small subunit ribosomal RNA". The record is from RNAcentral.